UGACUCCAGGGCCCUGGGAUCAUGACCUGAGCCGAAGGCAGAUGCCUAACGACUGAGCCACCCAGGCGCCCCCAGCAUGAUUUUUUGAGGGGCACGGUGACUAUAUUGACCUCACCCAUUGCCUUUGAUUCCGUAGUGCUUGUUAGAGCCUGCUGCUUCCUGAGAUACACUACCUACGUGUGUCUGCUUACAGGGUGGGGGCGUCUUCAGAGAUACAUUCUGGACUCUAUGGGGCUGGGGAGGUGACUUGAGAGAUUCUGCCAGAGAAGGCGUUGUUUAUUUCUAAAGCCACAAGAAACCGAAGGUUCAUCCGUUUAAUUUAGUUAAAGGUGGUUGUUGUGGUCAGAUGUCCGCAGGACCUGCUCCCCCUCCCUGAAAGCUGUUACCACUGUGUUAGGUGACCUGACCCCACCACCGCCAGCGCGCAGACUCCUCACCGCAGUGUUCCCAUGGGGUGUGCCGUUCGACAUCUGGGCGAGCAGCAGGCCCGCACCCCGAGGCUGGCCGUCCUCUCGUUCUGUGUUUGCACUGAUGCAUGUGACAUGCUGAGAUCCAGGGUUUAACUUCUGCCACACACCGGCUCGUUCUCUGUGAAGUUCGGCAGACGGCAGCCUAGGUAGGACACCCAGUGGGUUUGGAGGGUGCAACACGGAUCGGGUGGUUCUCGGGGGAAACUUGGAAGUCUCACUGAUGCUCUUCUGCAUUCCCGAGGACCUCUCUGUUGCGUUUGUAUGGCAUUAAUGCCUUGAAGAAACACUGAAAACUCCCCGAAGUCUGGCCACAUGGCUGUAUCUUUUCUGCAUCAGGUUAUAUAUGCUGAUGACUUUUUAGGACCGGAUGGCCCUCCCUUGUACGGAUGGGCCUUUAGCUUCUCGUAAUUAGCAGUGGUGCAGUAGUGAACAUGGUAUCUGUGGGCUCCAUUUCUGAAGGUAAAAGUGGUCUGUUCAAAGGAAUUCAUAUUUAAAAUAUUAAAGUAAAUUAUUAAUGGGUCCAACCAAAGGACCUUCUGCAAAGUACCGGUUAAUGAAAGCAUCCCCAGGGUUCUCCCUACUUCUGAGCCAGUGUCGGGAACCUGGACCAUUGCAGGCAGGGUGAUCUUACCAUUUUCAUUUGCUUUUUGCCCCCUUGUCUGAAGGAAGAAUCUUUGCUCGAAAUCCUGUGGAUUUGAAUGCUGACUCCACCACUUAACUGGGUGUGAGGACCUGGGUUGGGGUUGUGCCACUGUGAGCUGCCAGCAGUGUUUAGGGCUCCCGAUCACGUACAGACCUGCUUCUGAGAGCUUAAAGGAGUCUUAGGUUGGAUCCAGCUUCCGCAGCGGGCAGGCUUAGCAGGCUGAGAGCAGUCCUGCAGCUGACGGAGAAAGAAGGCUCCGGUCCUCGGGGCAGCCUGCCGCCACCGUUCUCUGGGCUGCUCUCAGCCACCUGGGCCAGUGGACUCCUCACCCUGAUGUCCUCCAGAAACCCACCAAGGUGCGUGAGAAAAAGAAUCACAAAACAAGACUCAAUCAAGAGAGUGUCACAAUCAAGAGAAUUGACUAUGACUUUGGUCAGGUUACUAACUUCUAAGUUUUCUCAUCUGUACAAGAGAAUGAACAACAGUAUCUUUCCUACGGCAAAAACUGCUCGUUAUGUCCAAAGAUCCUUUCUCCUUUGAUUUUUAGCUGGGGGCAUAUGGCUGUACCAAAUAAUGACUAUACUUCCCAGCCUGCUUUGCAGCUACAGUCAUAGAGCUGUGUAACCAUGUGACCAAGUUCUGGCCAAUGGGGCAUCGGUAAAAACGGAAUGAAAACUUUUGCAUGGAGGGUGGGGUGUUGUCUUUCUCCUCUUUCCUCCUUUCCCUGAGUUGGAUUAUAGGCGUAAUGAGUGGAGCUGGAGCAGCCCUCUGGAACAUGAGGUCCUUUUAGGAAUGGAGAAUGGAAGACAUGCCUAGAAGACCCCCAAGACAGAAGAAAGUCAUUUCCCUGACACCGUGGAGCUGCCACACCAGCCCUGGACCGUUUCAUCUCAGAUUUUUAUGUCACAGAAGUGACACUAAGCCACUGUCCUUUUAGGCUUCUUUAACUUGUAAAAUGAAUUUAGUCUUAAUAAAUGCAUGACGUCAUAGAUUUCUUGGGGGAGAUUCAAUGAGCUAUUGUAUACAACUUGCCUAUCACAAUACCUGGCAAAGUGUAAACACUCAGGAAGUGUAAACUCCUUAUUAGUACCUUCUGUAGUGUUCAGGUAGAAUAACUAUCCCUCCUCUCCAGUGAGAGCUCCAGGGAGGAGUGCUUCUGCAAAGAAAAAAAAAAACGAUCGAGAUUGUGCUGUUAACUUCUUUUUGGUUCCAAACAAUUG
Mustela erminea (ermine) is the source of this 2333-nucleotide long non-coding RNA. RefSeq lists it as uncharacterized. Lineage: Eukaryota; Metazoa; Chordata; Mammalia; Carnivora; Mustelidae. The record is from RefSeq and is a predicted model, not a curated record. The transcript has 3 exons.